AACGAACGCUGGCGGCAGGCCUAAAACAUGCAAGUCGAACGCCCCGCAAGGGGAGUGGCGCACGGGUGAGUAACGCGUGGGAACGUGCCCUUCACUACGGGACAACGUCGGGAAACUGACGCUAAUACCGUAUAAUGACUCCGGUCCAAAGAUGUAUCGGUGAAGGAGCGGCCCGCGUCUGAUUAGCUAGUUGGUGAGGUAAUGGCUCACCAAGGCUACGAUCAGUAGCAGGUCCGGGAGGAUGAUCUGCCACACUGGGACUGGGACACGGCCCAGACUCCUACGGGAGGCAGCAGUUAGGAAUAUUGGACAAUGGGCGAAAGCUUGAUCCAGCCAUGCCGCGUGUGUGAUGAAGGCCCUAGGGUUGUAAAGCACUUUCGUUGAGGAAGAUAAUGACUGUACUCAAAGAAGAAGCACCGGCUAACUUCGUGCCAGCAGCCGCAGUAA
Molecule: ribosomal RNA, 447 nt
Filed under: uncultured bacterium
Lineage: Bacteria
Description: partial 16S ribosomal RNA
Rfam family: Bacterial small subunit ribosomal RNA
Source: RNAcentral